CCAUCGUCCCCUCUUCAUGGAAGCACAUGUCGCCCGGCUCUUGUGAUCCUCCUCUUCCUCUUCCUCGUCUCUAAUUCCAAUCCGGUCUCCAUUUCGGAUCCAAAGCGGACAACAUGAUUGCCACAGUAAGUGAUCCCCAUCUCGAAUCUCAUAUCUCCUCUCCCUUUUCGUCCUCCUCGCAGCAAUCGAGUGAUCUCUGGACGCAGCGGUUUAUCGAUCUCUUCCUGGCCUUGUCGGUCUCUUUUCGGGGUGGAUUCGAUGGUUUCUUUUCUUGCUGAGGUUACAAAGCCGGAAUCGGUCGAUAAACCUCUGCAUCCGGACUUCCGCCGACAACCAUUCCUCCGUCCUCCCCCCAACCCAAAACACUCCCCCCCCAACCCCACCUUCUUCCUCCACUUGUUUUCGUCAUCUUAUAUAAUGAUUGGGCAAUGAAGAGGUGGUAGCUGUUAGGGCUAAUUGAUACGGCCGAUUCGAUGCCGAUUUCGAUCCCUUUUUUUUACUCAGAUUAUUGUCGGCAUUCUGCAGAAUUUCAAUCAACGAAUAAUGGUGCCAUCAGCAUUUAGAUCGAUUCAAAAUGGGUGACGUCUUGAGUUGUGAUGAUGGACAGAGAAAACAGUAAAUAUGUUUGAUUUAAUGUCUCUCAGUUCUUUCUUAUGCCUUCAAUUUUUCAUUGUUCUUUUGGAUUCGUUUAUCAUUUCAUUAUCUUCACCAUUUGAUCUAUCCAUAUUUUGGAUUAUUCACUGAAUAGGACGUAAAUGUUUUGUAUUAAACAGACAGCAGAGGACUACUAGAAAUCUUUAUUUACAGAAACUACCAUUAUUGGUUAAUUCGUCAAGGAUGAGAGGUCGGAAUAUACUCUGAGAUGGCUUAAACUUUGCUUUGGGAGGACUAAAUGGGGAAAAUAAGCUCAACUGGUCAAAUUAAUGUGACAGGAUGGCACAGUUUUUAUGAAGAUGAUUGAGAUAUAUUCCAUAUUUUGAUGUUUAAACAGUUAGCCUCAGAAAUAUUUUUCAUUUAAUUUAUUCCUUCUACCAAGAUUUGUUGUUCUCCAUGGAUGUGAACCUCCCUAUAUUUGUUAUGUUUGCAAUGCUUGAAGGUGAAUCUGUAUAAAGAAUUUAAACAUAAAUAUUUUUCUAACAUUUAGCCACACGAAUAUUUUUCAUUUAAUUAAUUCCUUUUACCCAGAUUCCUUGUUCUACAUGCAUGUGAACAUCUCUAUAUUUGUUAUGUUUGCAAUGCUUGAAGGUGAAUCUGUAUAAAGAAUUUAAACAUAAAUAUUCUUCUGAC
RNAcentral lists this long non-coding RNA (1287 nucleotides) under Musa acuminata (dwarf banana). Its description in RNAcentral is "long non-coding RNA (MACU_LNC001773)". The stretch from base 195 to 320 matches the Rfam family "MIR162_1 microRNA precursor family", at positions 1 to 92 of the family's 112-position model. Lineage: Eukaryota; Viridiplantae; Streptophyta; Magnoliopsida; Zingiberales; Musaceae. The record is from RNAcentral.